CUCACCCAUUGUGCAUCACGGCGUGAGCCCUUUUGUAAANAGGGCUUGCGUUUUUUUACAUAAAACUUGAUACAAUGUAUAGAAUAUUAUAUUUUCNAUUAUAUGCAAUUAAUACAACUUUCAACAACGGAUCUCUUGGCUCUCGCAUCGAUGAAGAACGCAGCGAAAUGCGAUACGUAAUGUGAAUUGCAGAAUUCAGUGAAUCAUCGAAUCUUUGAACGCAACUUGCGCCCCUUGGCAUUCCGAGGGGCACACCUGUUUGAGUGUCGUGAAAUCCUCAAAAACCUUUUUAUUUGAUUGUUUCUGGUCAGGAAAAGGUUUUUGGACUUGGAGGUUUAAUGCUUGCUUUUGUCUCGGAAGCAAGCUCCUCUGAAAUAAAUUAGUAGGGUCUGCUUUGCUCGAUUCUUAAUGUAAUAAGAUGCUUGUACAUUUUGAAUUUGGCAUUGUCUCUUAGAUGCCUGCUUCUAACUGUCUUAUGGACAAUAAUGGNCUGGUGGCCUUUAGCUAUCCGAGUUGUAAUUUAGAGAAGCAUCUUCCGCGCUGGACCGUGCACAAGUCUCCUGGAAUGGAGCGUCAUAGAGGGUGAGAAUCCCGUCUUUGGCACGGACAUGUCAGGGCUUUUGUGAUGUGCUCUCAAAGAGUCGAGUUGUUUGGGAAUGCAGCUCAAAAUGGGUGGUGAACUCCAUCUAAAGCUAAAUAUUGGCGAGAGACCGAUAGCGAACAAGUACCGUGAGGGAAAGAUGAAAAGCACUUUGGAAAGAGAGUGAAACAGUACGUGAAAUUGUUGAAAGGGAAACGAUUGAAGUCAGUCGUGUUGACCAAGACUCAGCCUUGCCUUGGCUUGGUGUAAUUCUUGGCUGACAGGCCAGCAUCAAUUUUGUCUCUUGGAUAAUGGUAAGGGAAAUGUGACACCAUUAUGGUGUGUUAUAGUCUCUUGUCACAUGCAAGGGUUGAGAUUGAGGAACUCAGCACGCACCUUUUGGGUGUCGGGGCUUUUGCUCACGAUACGUGCUUAGGAUGUUGGCAUAAUGGCUUUAAACGACCCGUCUUGAAACACGGACCAAGGAGUCUAACAUGCCUGCGAGUGUUUGGGUGGAAAACCCGUGCGCGUAAUGAAAGUGAAAGUUGGGACCUUUGUCGUGAAGGGCACCGACGCCCGGACCAGACCUUCUGUGACGGUUCUGCGGUAAAGCAUGUAUGUUAGGACCCGAAAGAUGGUGAACUAUGCCUGAAUAG
RNAcentral lists this ribosomal RNA (1236 nucleotides) under uncultured Russula. RNAcentral describes it as "eukaryotic LSU rRNA". The stretch from base 407 to 1236 matches the Rfam family "Eukaryotic large subunit ribosomal RNA", at positions 1 to 844 of the family's 3401-position model. The record is from RNAcentral. Lineage: Eukaryota; Fungi; Basidiomycota; Agaricomycetes; Russulales; Russulaceae.